AUUGAACGCUGGCGGAAUGCUUUACACAUGCAAGUCGAACGGUAGAGGGGGCAACCCCUCGAGAGUGGCGAACGGGUGAGUAAUACAUCGGAACGUGCCUCGUAGUGGGGGAUAACUACUCGAAAGAGUGGCUAAUACCGCAUGAGAUCUACGGAUGAAAGCAGGGGAUCGCAAGACCUUGUGCUACUAGAGCGGCCGAUGGCAGCUUAGGUAGUUGGUGGGUUAAAAGCUUACCAAGCCGACGAUCUGUAGCUGGUCUGAGAGGACGAUCAGCCACACUGGGACAGAGACACGGCCCAGACUCCUACGGGAGGCAGCAGUGGGGAAUUUUGGACAAUGGGCGCAAGCCUGAUCCAGCAAUGCCGCGUGCAGGAUGAAGGCCUUCGGGUUGUAAACUGAUUUUGUACGGAACGAAAAGCCCUGGGUUAAUACCCUGGGGUCAUGACGGUACCGUAAGAAGAAGCACCGGCUAACUACGUGCCAGCCGCCGCGGUAA
This 496-nucleotide ribosomal RNA is filed under the name uncultured bacterium. RNAcentral describes it as "partial 16S ribosomal RNA". It matches the Rfam family "Bacterial small subunit ribosomal RNA", at positions 30 to 523 of the family's 1533-position model. The record is from RNAcentral.